UACGUAGGGGGCAAGCGUUGUCCGGAAUCAUUGGGCGUAAAGAGCUCGUAGGCGGUUCGAUAAGUCGGACGUGAAAUCUCCACGCUCAACGUGGAGGGGCCGUUCGAUACUGUCGUGACUCGAGUCCGGUAGGGGAGUGUGGAAUUCCCGGUGUAGCGGUGAAAUGCGCAGAUAUCAGGAGGAACACCGGUGGCGAAGGCGGGUCUCUGGGCAACAACUGACGCUGAGGAGCGAAAGCGUGGGGAGCGAACAGG
RNAcentral lists this ribosomal RNA (254 nucleotides) under uncultured bacterium. RNAcentral describes it as "partial 16S ribosomal RNA". It matches the Rfam family "Bacterial small subunit ribosomal RNA", at positions 524 to 776 of the family's 1533-position model. The record is from RNAcentral.